UAUUGGUCUUGUCAAUGUAGGAUGAAAUAUCAUAUUUUUAUGAACUAUUACAUUUUCCGUGUGAAUUUAUUAUUAAAACAGUAAUUUUCCACACCUAAUUACUAUUGUUUAAAUUUUGGUUGUGUGCCGCUUACACAUAAAAAUGUUUAUACGCACGGCCUGCCAGCCAAUUAGAGGCCCAUAUCAAUUCAAGUAAAUUUUGAUUGAACAGUUGAAAACCUUUUUCUUCUAAAAUGGAAUGAUCGGAACUGGGUUACGUCUAUAUGAAGAUAGGCGAAAUUUGACAGUGCUAGCUGUAAAUAUGUAGUUUAGCGGUAAAAUUGCUCCAAGGAGUGAUUUUAUAUUAAUUCUUCUUCAAGAUGCCACGUAAAUGUAAUGUGUGAAUAACUUUUGCUAUGUUUGCGGUGAAGUGACUUUUGCUUCUCAGAAACAUGAAUUGACUUCAUUAGUAAAGACAGCAUAUUACCAUUACUGUGUCUGUAAAAUAGAUGAGGGUAAACCUUGGGUUACCAAUAUUUGCUGUAAUUCAUGUGCAGUAAACCUCCGUUGUUGGUUAAAGGAAACAGUAAAGUCAAUGCCAUUUGCAGUUUCCAUGACAUGGCGAUAACUUACAAGUCAUAUCACUGAUAGUUAUUUCUGUAUUGUGCCUCCUCUUAAACAUGGAAAACAGACCAUCACAUAUCCAACUUCGACAUCGGCAACACGACCGGUACCACAUGGAGAAGGUCUGCCUGUCCCUAUCCCUCCGGAACAUUAUGUCCUAGAAUCUAAUGAAGACAUGGAAUGAGAAUACAAACAACAGCCUGAGUCUUUACAGCAAGUCUCAAAAUUAUACGCCAGAAUGGAUCUCGCCCAGUAGGCCACUUAAAAUUACUCAAUAAAACUUGAUGAUUUUGUUCGUGAUCUGGAGUUACCAAAAAGCAAGGCCGAACUUCUUGCCUCCAGGCUUUGGCAGUGGAAUCUCCUGGCAAAAAGUGUGAAAGUGUGUGUUCAUGGACAUCGAGAAAGAAUCUCGAUGCCAUUCUUUGAAAUGGAAAACCUUGUUGCCUGCAAUGACGUAAAUGGUCUGAUGGCAUAUUUGAGAAUGAAGCAUAAUUCCUAGCACUGGAGACUUUUCAUUGACUCCUCCAAGUUAAUUUGAAAGCUGUUGUGCUACACAAUGGAAACACACUACCAUCUGUUCCUGUAGGUCAUGCUGUAAAUGUGAAGGAGAGCUAUGAAAAUGUAAAAUUUCUUCUUAAAAAAAUAAAUUACUAAGACUAUCAA
Molecule: long non-coding RNA, 1266 nt
Organism: Bacillus rossius redtenbacheri
Lineage: Eukaryota; Metazoa; Arthropoda; Insecta; Phasmatodea; Bacillidae
Exons: 2
Source: RefSeq, a predicted model, not a curated record